Small nucleolar RNA from Lemur catta (Ring-tailed lemur), 68 nucleotides. Lineage: Eukaryota; Metazoa; Chordata; Mammalia; Primates; Lemuridae. The record is from RefSeq and is a predicted model, not a curated record.
GUGUAAUGACAUUAUACAAUAAUAUCUGACCUGAAAGGAUUAUUAUGUGGACAAAUAAUAAUGAACAA